UAGGGAAUAUUAGAAAUGGACGAAAGUCUGAUCUAGCAACACCGCGUGUGCGAAGAAGGCCUUCGGGUUGUAAAGCACUUUUUGGAAGGAUUAGGAAGGAAUGUACUUCCAGAAUAAGUCUCGGCUAACUACGUGCCAGCAGCCGCGGUAACACGUAGGAGGCAAACGUUAUCCGGAUUUACUGGGCGUAAAGCGCGUGUAGGUGGUUUGGUAAGUAGAGCGUGAAAGCUCCUGGCUCAACUGGGAGAGGUCGUUCUAAACUGCCGGACUAGAGGAUGGUAGAGGGAGGUGGAAUUCCGGGUGUAGCGGUGGAAUGCGCAGAUAUCCGGAGGAACACCAGUAGCGAAGGCGGCUCUCUGGACUGUAACUGACGCUGAGGCACGAAAGCGUGGGGAGCAAACA
Molecule: ribosomal RNA, 402 nt
Filed under: uncultured prokaryote
Description: bacterial SSU rRNA
Rfam family: Bacterial small subunit ribosomal RNA
Source: RNAcentral